Molecule: ribosomal RNA, 462 nt
Filed under: uncultured bacterium
Lineage: Bacteria
Description: partial 16S ribosomal RNA
Rfam family: Bacterial small subunit ribosomal RNA
Source: RNAcentral
CUACGGGGCGCUCCAGUAACGAAUAUUGGGCAAUGGGCGCAAGCCUGACCCAGCAAUGCCGCGUGCAGGAGGAAGCCCCUCGGGGUGUAAACUGCUGUCAGGUUCUAGCAAGCAAAGAGGGUUAACAGCCCUCCGCGUUGAGCAGAUCCAAAGGAAGCCUCGGCUAACUCUGUGCCAGCAGCCGCGGUAAGACAGAGGAGGCAAGCGUUGUUCGGAAUCAUUGGGCUUAAAGCGGAUGUAGGCGGCUUGGCAAGUGUCCCGUGAAAUCCCCCGGCUCAACCGGGGAACUGCGGGGCAAACUGCCUGGCUUGAGGUCGGUAGAGGCGCCUGGAACUCUAGGUGGAGCGGUGAAAUGCGUAGAUAUCUAGAGGAACGCCUGUGGCGAAAGCGGGGCGCUGGGCCGAUUCUGACGCUGAGAUCCGAAAGCGUGGGGAGCAAACAGGAUUAGAUACCCCUGUAGUC